Molecule: transfer RNA, 72 nt
Organism: Ovis aries (sheep)
Lineage: Eukaryota; Metazoa; Chordata; Mammalia; Artiodactyla; Bovidae
Rfam family: tRNA
About the family: Transfer RNA (tRNA) molecules are approximately 80 nucleotides in length.
Source: Rfam
UCCCUGAUGGCUCAGACGGUAAAGAAUCUGCCUGCAAUGCAGGAGACCCAGGCUCGAUCCCUGGAUCGGGAA